AAAAUAUGGCAGGUUUUCUCCAGCAACUAAAAGCUCCUGGAAGGUUCUAGCCAAGAUGGGAAAUGGAAGACUCAGUACCAGGCAGAUUUGGCAGAAUGAGAGAAUUGGAUAUAGAGGACCUUCUAUCAGAGCCAGCUGACCAGCCCACACCUGUGGUCAAAACCAAUAAAACACAGACGUCCAAAGUUGGGGCUAAGCUCGCUGACGCAAGGGAGAACGUGGCUCGGGAGCACAUCCACAGGGGAGGAACCAGACGCGCUGCACGAACGGGACAGAUGCUGAGCGACGGUCUCGGGAGCACUGGAGGAAGCGUGCAGGAGCUCGGUGCUUGGCCUGAUGUGGUCAGUGAGGCUAAGUGAACAUCAACUGAAGGCCAGUUAUGGGCCAGGCACCGAGGCUACAAUAGCAGGUAAAAAAGGACAGUCCUCGCCCUCUGGGGAUCAGAGACGUCCAAACACACUGGCGUUUCUGAGGUCAGACCGUGUGACAGCGGUGGUGCCAGGCAAUGAGUCAUGCCAUGCUUGGUCAGUCAAACACAGGACACGUGUGUCUUCAGCUGUACUCUCGGAUUUCAUUUCAUUUUUGUUUGCUCUUGACUUGAACAAACAUGAAGAGUUAACAGUGAACGUGGACAUGGAGAAGUUAUGAGGAAAUGCACAAACUCACUGACCUGGUGUUCCUUGUAACUACACAGGAAAAUGUAGUCGCCCACCUUGGGUUCGGCCUGUCUUCACGGAAACAAAAUGAAAUCUAUACUACUCAUCAUUUGUAUGUGGAGCAAUUGUGGCCUGUGGAUUUCUAAAAUACAGAUUUUUUAAAGUUUUCAAAUUCAGAAAAGAUAUUUAAAGGAAUUGGUGGUUCAAGGUCAGAGGGGUUACUAAGGAGAAACAAAAGGAUUUCACAUUCCAAGUCCUUACCGUGGGCUAUAGGUCCCUACUGCACUGGCCCCACCGCUCUCUCUUCCCUCAUUCUGUUCCAGUCAUACUGGCCUCCUUGGCCUCACCAAGCCUACUCCCAUUCCAGAGGCUUUGCUCUCAUGUAAGCUACUGCCCAGGAAGCCCACAGGGUGUUUCGCACGGCCCACCCCUGCGCUCAGGCCCUGCGCCAGGGUCACUUCUGCAGAGGACUCCCCUGCCCCUCCCUUACCUCUCUUUGAA
This is a long non-coding RNA of Ailuropoda melanoleuca (giant panda), 1157 nucleotides long. RefSeq lists it as uncharacterized. Lineage: Eukaryota; Metazoa; Chordata; Mammalia; Carnivora; Ursidae. The transcript has 3 exons. The record is from RefSeq and is a predicted model, not a curated record.